This 159-nucleotide ribosomal RNA is filed under the name Alternaria petroselini. RNAcentral's name for it is "5.8S ribosomal RNA". It matches the Rfam family "5.8S ribosomal RNA". From Rfam's summary of the family: 5.8S ribosomal RNA (5.8S rRNA) is a component of the large subunit of the eukaryotic ribosome. It is transcribed by RNA polymerase I as part of the 45S precursor that also contains 18S and 28S rRNA. Lineage: Eukaryota; Fungi; Ascomycota; Dothideomycetes; Pleosporales; Pleosporaceae. The record is from RNAcentral.
UACAACUUUCAACAACGGAUCUCUUGGUUCUGGCAUCGAUGAAAAACGCAGCGAAAUGCGAUAAGUAGUGUGAAUUGCAGAAUUCAGUGAAUCAUCGAAUCUUUGAACGCACAUUGCGCCCUUUGGUAUUCCAAAGGGCAUGCCUGUUCGAGCGUCAUU